Molecule: ribosomal RNA, 500 nt
Filed under: uncultured bacterium
Lineage: Bacteria
Description: partial 16S ribosomal RNA
Rfam family: Bacterial small subunit ribosomal RNA
Source: RNAcentral
AUUGAACGCUGGCGGAAUGCUUUACACAUGCAAGUCGAACGGCAGCACGGACUUCGGUCUGGUGGCGAGUGGCGAACGGGUGAGUAACAUAUCGGAACGUAUCCAAUAAUGGGGGAUAACUAAUAGAAAGGUUGGCUAAUACCGCAUACGCCAUAAGGGGGAAAGCUAGGGACCUUCGGGCCUGGCGCUAAUGGAGCGGCCGAUAUCUGAUUAGCUAGUUGGUGGGGUAAAGGCCCACCAAGGCGACGAUCAGUAGCUGGUCUGAGAGGACGACCAGCCACACUGGAACUGAGACACGGUCCAGACUCCUACGGGAGGCAGCAGUGGGGAAUUUUGGACAAUGGGCGCAAGCCUGAUCCAGCCAUUCCGCGUGAGUGAAGAAGGCCUUCGGGUUGUAAAGCUCUUUCGCAAGGGAAGAAAACUUAGCCUCUAACAUAGGCUGAGGUUGACGGUACCUUGAUAAGAAGCACCGGCUAACUACGUGCCAGCCGCCGCCGUAA